CCUACGGGAGGCAGCAGUGAGGAAUAUUGCGCAAUGGAGGCAACUCUGACGCAGCCAUGCCGCGUGCAGGAAGAAGGCGCUACGCGUUGUAAACUGCUUUUAUCCGGGAAGAAACCCCUCUACGUGUGGAGGGUUGACGGUACCGGAGGAAUAAGCACCGGCUAACUUCGUGCCAGCAGCCGCGGUAAUACGAAGGGUGCAAGCGUUAUCCGGAUUCAUUGGGUUUAAAGGGUGCGUAGGUGGGGCGUUAAGUCAGUGGUGAAAUCCUGCAGCUCAACUGUAGACUUGCCAUUGAUACUGGCGCUCUUGAGUGCGCUUGAAGUAGGCGGAAUGUGCCGUGUAGCGGUGAAAUGCUUAGAUAUGGCACAGAACACCAAUUGCGAAGGCAGCUUACUAAGGCGAUACUGACACUGAGGCACGAAAGCGUGGGGAUCGAACAGGAUUAGAUACCCUGGUAGUCCACGCCGUAAACGAUGAUCNCUCGAGAUGGCGAUAUACGUCGNGUCGUCCGUAGCGAAGACGUUAAGUAAGUAGUCCUUACCGUUGGGGUAGGUUACGGUUAGUCGCGAGAGUUAGUUAACGUUAAAGGUUAAGUUAGGACGGCGUUGGAGACGUUGGCCGACGGACGACGACGGAGGGAGGUUAGG
RNAcentral lists this ribosomal RNA (647 nucleotides) under uncultured bacterium. RNAcentral's name for it is "bacterial SSU rRNA". The stretch from base 1 to 542 matches the Rfam family "Bacterial small subunit ribosomal RNA", at positions 338 to 873 of the family's 1533-position model. The record is from RNAcentral.